This is a non-coding RNA of Triticum aestivum (bread wheat), 109 nucleotides long. The record is from Rfam. NCBI's taxonomy places the organism in Eukaryota, Viridiplantae, Streptophyta, Magnoliopsida, Poales, Poaceae.
UAUGUACUCCCUCCGUUCGGAAUUACUUGUCGCAGAAAUGGAUGUAUCUAGACGUAUUCUAUAUACAUCCAUUUCCACGACAAGUAAUUCCGAACAGAGAGAGUAGCUA